RNAcentral lists this ribosomal RNA (429 nucleotides) under Chloroflexota bacterium. Its description in RNAcentral is "Chloroflexi bacterium partial 16S ribosomal RNA". It matches the Rfam family "Bacterial small subunit ribosomal RNA", at positions 355 to 776 of the family's 1533-position model. Lineage: Bacteria; Bacillati; Chloroflexota. The record is from RNAcentral.
UGGGGAAUAUUGCACAAUGGGCGCAAGCCUGAUGCAGCCAUGCCGCGUGUAUGAAGAAGGCCUUCGGGUUGUAAAGUACUUUCAGCGGGGAGGAAGGGAGUAAAGUUAAUACCUUUGCUCAUUGACGUUACCCGCAGAAGAAGCACCGGCUAACUCCGUGCCAGCAGCCGCGGUAAUACGGAGGGUGCAAGCGUUAAUCGGAAUUACUGGGCGUAAAGCGCACGCAGGCGGUUUGUUAAGUCAGAUGUGAAAUCCCCGGGCUCAACCUGGGAACUGCAUCUGAUACUGGCAAGCUUGAGUCUCGUAGAGGGGGGUAGAAUUCCAGGUGUAGCGGUGACAUGCGUAGAGAUCUGGAGGAAUACCGGUGGCGAAGGCGGCCCCCUGGACGAAGACUGACGCUCAGGUGCGAAAGCGUGGGGAGCAAACAGG